This 4042-nucleotide long non-coding RNA is filed under the name Olea europaea (common olive). Its description in RNAcentral is "long non-coding RNA (OEUR_LNC008987)". Lineage: Eukaryota; Viridiplantae; Streptophyta; Magnoliopsida; Lamiales; Oleaceae. The record is from RNAcentral.
AUAGGAGCAGACCAUCUUGAAAUUGCUUUAAAUUUAUUGAAAACUCAAAUACUGGUUGUCCUUCUUGCUCUUUGUAUAAAAGGUAAUUGUAAUUGCUUUUAAAUCUGGCCUCACUGUAGGUAUUGGACCUUAUCAUCCCACUUAGAGAGCUGGCACAUGCAGAUGCAAAUGUUGCGUAUCAUUUGUGGGUCUUGGUGUUUCCUAUUGUUUGGGUGACCUUGCACAAGGAUGAACAGGUAACACUAGCUAAGCCCAUGAUAGCCCUCUUGUCAAAGGACUAUCAUAAGAAGCAGCAAGCACAUAGGCCAAAUGUUGUGCAAGCUCUUUCGGAAGGACUUCAAUUAUGUCAUCCUCAGCCACGGAUGCCUAGUGAACUAAUCAAAUACAUUGGAAAGACUUAUAAUGCAUGGCACAUUGCAUUGACACUACUGGAAAGUCGUGUAAUGUUGUCCUUGAAUGACAUGAAGUGCUCUGAGUCUCUGGCAGAGCUUUAUCGAUUGCUUAACGAAGAAGAUAUGAGGUGUGGUUUAUGGAAGAAGAGAACAAUUACGGCAGAAACUAGGUCUGGACUGUCUCUAGUUCAGCAUGGUUAUUGGCAACAGGCACAAAGCCUUUUCUACCAUGGCAUGGUGAAAGCAACUCAAGGUACUUACAACAAUACUGUACCAAAAGCUGAGAUGUGUCUUUGGGAAGAACAGUGGCUCCAUUGUGCUACUCAACUGAGUCAGUGGGAAGCUUUGGUGGAGUUUGGCAAACAGAUUGAAAAUUAUGAGAUACUACUAGAUAGUCUGUGGAAACAGCCUGAUUGGGCAUAUCUGAAAGAUCAUGUUGUUUCAAAGGCUCAAGUAGAAGAAACUGCAAAGCUCUGUAUAAUCCAAGCAUAUUUUUAUCUUCAUGAGAAAAAUACAAAUGGAGUAGCAGAGGCUGAAAGCAUAGUGGGAAAAGGCGUUGAUCUAGCUUUGGAACACUGGUGGCAAUUGCCCGAAAUGUCCAUUAAUGCUAGAAUUCCCCUACUGCAGCAGUUUCAGCAACUAGUUGAAGUUCAAGAGUCAGCACGGAUUAUUGUGGAUAUUGCAAAUGGGAACAAACUUCCUGCUAAUUCUGUUGUUGGUGUUCAUGGGGGCUUGUAUGCAGAUCUCAAGGAUAUCCUCGAGACAUGGAGAUUGAGGACACCGAAUGAAUGGGACAAUACAUCUGUUUGGUAUGAUUUGCUUCAGUGGAGGAAUGAGAUGUAUAAUGUAGUUAUAGAUGCAUUUAAGGAUUUUGGUAAUACAAAUUCACAGUUGCAUCAUCUUGGAUUCCGUGACAAGGCAUGGAAUGUCAAUAAACUUGCUCACAUUGCCCGAAAGCAUGGCUUGGAUGAUGUUUGUGUGUCUAUACUGGAGAAAAUGUACGGCCACUCUACAAUGGAAGUUCAGGUGGUGUGGAUUUGCCUUUACAUUUUAUCUCAACCUCCUUUACCUGCAUUUACAGUCCUACUCUUACAUCUGCCUCUUGGCAGGUAGGGGAGAGAGUGGAUUAUUACUUUGGGUUUAGGGGUGACAUAUGACAAUUUUUUGAAUUAUUGCUUUUGCAGGAAGCUUUUGUUAAAAUAAGAGAACAAGCGAAGGCGUACUUGGAAAUGAAAGGAGAGCUAAUCAGUGGUCUUAAUUUGAUUAAUAGUACUAACCUGGAACAUUUUCCUGUUAAAAACAAGGCUGAAAUUUUUCGCCUGAAGGGUGAUUUUCUGUUGAAGCUUAGUGACGGUGAAGGUGCAAAUCUUGCUUAUUCAAAUGCCAUCAGUCUCUUCAAGAACUUGCCUAAAGGAUGGAUCAGUUGGGGCAAUUAUUGUGACAUGGUAUGCAUUAUUCGUUUUUGGUAAUAAAAAUUUCUAUACACUAAUAGUGUUAAUGCUUAUUAUGUCUGUUUUCUCAGGCUUACAGAGAAACCCAUGAGGAAAUUUGGUUAGAAUUUUAUAAUAAAUAAGGGGAAUACUUAUGAUAUGAAGAGCAUGUGGCAUAGCCAUGAUGACAUAUGCUGCCAUUAUGCCACCAGGUUCUUCCUUUUCUUGGCUUAUGAUAUUUCUGGGGCAAAUAUCCCCAUUGGAUGGAUUUAUGCUUUAGAAUUUGGUUUGGCGUGGGGGUGUCUAUUGAUAGGAGCAGACCAUCUUGAAAUUGCUUUAAAUUUAUUGAAAACUCAAAUACUGGUUGUCCUUCUUGCUCUUUGUAUAAAAGGUAAUUGUAAUUGCUUUUAAAUCUGGCCUCACUGUAGGUAUUGGACCUUAUCAUCCCACUUAGAGAGCUGGCACAUGCAGAUGCAAAUGUUGCGUAUCAUUUGUGGGUCUUGGUGUUUCCUAUUGUUUGGGUGACCUUGCACAAGGAUGAACAGGUAACACUAGCUAAGCCCAUGAUAGCCCUCUUGUCAAAGGACUAUCAUAAGAAGCAGCAAGCACAUAGGCCAAAUGUUGUGCAAGCUCUUUCGGAAGGACUUCAAUUAUGUCAUCCUCAGCCACGGAUGCCUAGUGAACUAAUCAAAUACAUUGGAAAGACUUAUAAUGCAUGGCACAUUGCACUGACACUACUGGAAAGUCGUGUAAUGUUGUCCUGGAAUGACAUGAAGUGCUCUGAGUCUCUGGCAGAGCUUUAUCGAUUGCUUAACGAAGAAGAUAUGAGGUGUGGUUUAUGGAAGAAGAGAACAAUUACGGCAGAAACUAGGUCUGGACUGUCUCUAGUUCAGCAUGGUUAUUGGCAACAGGCACAAAGCCUUUUCUACCAUGGCAUGGUGAAAGCAACUCAAGGUACUUACAACAAUACUGUACCAAAAGCUGAGAUGUGUCUUUGGGAAGAACAGUGGCUCCAUUGUGCUACUCAACUGAGUCAGUGGGAAGCUUUGGUGGAGUUUGGCAAACAGAUUGAAAAUUAUGAGAUACUACUAGAUAGUCUGUGGAAACAGCCUGAUUGGGCAUAUCUGAAAGAUCAUGUUGUUUCAAAGGCUCAAGUAGAAGAAACUGCAAAGCUCUGUAUAAUCCAAGCAUAUUUUUAUCUUCAUGAGAAAAAUACAAAUGGAGUAGCAGAGGCUGAAAGCAUAGUGGGAAAAGGCGUUGAUCUAGCUUUGGAACACUGGUGGCAAUUGCCCGAAAUGUCCAUUAAUGCUAGAAUUCCCCUACUGCAGCAGUUUCAGCAACUAGUUGAAGUUCAAGAGUCAGCACGGAUUAUUGUGGAUAUUGCAAAUGGGAACAAACUUCCUGCUAAUUCUGUUGUUGGUGUUCAUGGGGGCUUGUAUGCAGAUCUCAAGGAUAUCCUCGAGACAUGGAGAUUGAGGACACCGAAUGAAUGGGACAAUACAUCUGUUUGGUAUGAUUUGCUUCAGUGGAGGAAUGAGAUGUAUAAUGUAGUUAUAGAUGCAUUUAAGGAUUUUGGUAAUACAAAUUCACAGUUGCAUCAUCUUGGAUUCCGUGACAAGGCAUGGAAUGUCAAUAAACUUGCUCACAUUGCCCGAAAGCAUGGCUUGGAUGAUGUUUGUGUGUCUAUACUGGAGAAAAUGUACGGCCACUCUACAAUGGAAGUUCAGGUGGUGUGGAUUUGCCUUUACAUUUUAUCUCAACCUCCUUUACCUGCAUUUACAGUCCUACUCUUACAUCUGCCUCUUGGCAGGUAGGGGAGAGAGUGGAUUAUUACUUUGGGUUUAGGGGUGACAUAUGACAAUUUUUUGAAUUAUUGCUUUUGCAGGAAGCUUUUGUUAAAAUAAGAGAACAAGCGAAGGCGUACUUGGAAAUGAAAGGAGAGCUAAUCAGUGGUCUUAAUUUGAUUAAUAGUACUAACCUGGAACAUUUUCCUGUUAAAAACAAGGCUGAAAUUUUUCGCCUGAAGGGUGAUUUUCUGUUGAAGCUUAGUGACGGUGAAGGUGCAAAUCUUGCUUAUUCAAAUGCCAUCAGUCUCUUCAAGAACUUGCCUAAAGGAUGGAUCAGUUGGGGCAAUUAUUGUGACAUGGUAUGCAUUAUUCGUUUUUGGUAAUAAAAAUUUCUAUACACUAAUAGUGUUAAUGCUUAUUAUGUCUGUUUUCU